This 482-nucleotide ribosomal RNA is filed under the name uncultured soil bacterium. RNAcentral describes it as "bacterial SSU rRNA". It matches the Rfam family "Bacterial small subunit ribosomal RNA", at positions 26 to 509 of the family's 1533-position model. The record is from RNAcentral.
AGAUUGAACGCUGGCGGCAUGCCUUACGCAUGCAAGUCGAACGGCAGCACGGGAGCAAUCCUGGUGGCGAGUGGCGAACGGGUGAGUAAUACAUCGGAACGUGCCCAAUCGUGGGGGAUAACGCAGCGAAAGCUGUGCUAAUACCGCAUAAGAUCUACGGAUGAAAGCAGGGGAUCGCAAGACCUUGCGCGAAUGGAGCGGCCGAUGGCAGAUUAGGUAGUUGGUGAGGUAAAGGCUCACCAAGCCUUCGAUCUGUAGCUGGUCUGAGAGGACGACCAGCCACACUGGGACUGAGACACGGCCCAGACUCUACGGAGGCAGCAGUGGGAAUUUUGGACAAUGGGCGAAAGCCUGAUCCAGCCAGUGCCGCGUGCAGGAUGAAGGCCUUGGUGUAAACUGCUUUUGUACGUAACGAAAGUCUCUUUACUAAUAAAGAGGAUCAUAGACGUACCGUAAGAAUAAGCGACCGCUAACUACGUACG